GAUCCAUCGGCAGGCGCUAUGCCCGAACUGAUGAGAUCGGCGUGGCAUUCGGGAUCACCAUCGACUUCGACACGGUCAACAGGGAUCCCCACACGGCUACCUUGAGAGACCGGGAUUCGAUGCGGCAGAUACGAGCGGAGAUCUCCGAGCUUCCGACCAUAGUCCGGGACCUUGCCAAUGGCCACAUGACCUGGGCCGACGUGGAGGCGAAGUACCCGCUCUUUGAGGGACAAGAGACUGGCAAAAAGGAGACCAUCGAGGAAUGAAGCUCACGUCCGGCAGAGAGACCUUACCCGGAAGUCCACUUUUUACUGUUCAUGUUAAUACGAAACUUCUCAUGUGUAUUCUUCAAAACCGCAUCGUAUGCGUGCCCAGGGACAUGUUUUGGUUAUUUCCCCGCCCCCACAAUGGCUGCCUAAUUUUAACUCCUGUCUCCAGUAUCUGCAAUUAAAAGUGAAUGAGAGC
Molecule: long non-coding RNA, 465 nt
Organism: Gekko japonicus
Lineage: Eukaryota; Metazoa; Chordata; Lepidosauria; Squamata; Gekkonidae
Exons: 2
Source: RefSeq, a predicted model, not a curated record